ACCUGGCUGACUUAGAAGAGUGUGAGGCUCUUGAUCUCUGGGUUGUGAGUUUGAAUCCCAUGCUGGGUG
Molecule: transfer RNA, 69 nt
Filed under: Mustela putorius furo (domestic ferret)
Lineage: Eukaryota; Metazoa; Chordata; Mammalia; Carnivora; Mustelidae
Rfam family: tRNA
About the family: Transfer RNA (tRNA) molecules are approximately 80 nucleotides in length. Their secondary structure includes four short double-helical elements and three loops (D, anti-codon, and T loops). Further hydrogen bonds mediate the characteristic L-shaped molecular structure. tRNAs have two regions of fundamental functional importance: the anti-codon, which is responsible for specific mRNA codon recognition, and the 3' end, to which the tRNAs corresponding amino acid is attached (by aminoacyl-tRNA synthetases). tRNAs cope with the degeneracy of the genetic code in two manners: having more than one tRNA (with a specific anti-codon) for a particular amino acid; and 'wobble' base-pairing, i.e. permitting non-standard base-pairing at the 3rd anti-codon position.
Source: Rfam by way of RNAcentral